GCCACCGUAGCGCAGAGAUUAGCAUGUCCGACUAUGACGCUGAACGCCUAGGUUCGAACCCUGGCGGUGGUU
Molecule: non-coding RNA, 72 nt
Organism: Stomoxys calcitrans (stable fly)
Lineage: Eukaryota; Metazoa; Arthropoda; Insecta; Diptera; Muscidae
Source: Rfam